Non-coding RNA from Chelonoidis abingdonii (Abingdon island giant tortoise), 604 nucleotides. NCBI's taxonomy places the organism in Eukaryota, Metazoa, Chordata, Testudines, Testudinidae. The record is from the annotation of a RefSeq genome assembly.
CAGAGGUUGGAAGUUCUGACUCAGGCUCAGGCUGUGUGCGUCUAUGCAGCUGUCUGUGAUCCGCAGCCAGACGAGCAGGUACCCAAUGGUUCCCUGUUUGCUCUUCAUUGUUGCCCUGUCUCCUUUGGGAUGGGCCAUCCGUCAGCCGCCAGACAUGGUGGUCAUUCUGGGAAAGCCACUGACACUGAACUGCUCUCUAUCAGAAACAACCCAACUGAUGACCAUUUACUGGUACAAGCAGGCCAUGGGGAAGGACGCAAGGCUGCAGCUUGUCAUGUUUUCUACAGAAGGCUCUAGUGCAAAUGUUGAGAAGCCAUUUGAAGGUCACUUCCAGAGCAAUGGGACAAAAAACUAUGUCCUGUCUCUGUAUGCAGAGAGUGCCCAGAUGCAAGAUUCAGGCACAUAUUACUGUGCUAAGCAAGAUCACACAUCUCUCCCCCAUUACAAAUUAAGGGCCUGGUCUCAAGGCUGUUUCCUGGUGACAUCUGUGAACCACAAAGUCAGUUUUUCCCUGGAGUACAACAAUUCCAGCCCCAGGGACAGCACCAAUGACUUCUGCCUUGCAGGGAGCCAUAGUGCAGGAGACAACAGGGCCACAGUAUGA